UCCUAUCCAAAUCACAGCUCU
This 21-nucleotide non-coding RNA is filed under the name Caenorhabditis elegans. The record is from RNAcentral. Lineage: Eukaryota; Metazoa; Nematoda; Chromadorea; Rhabditida; Rhabditidae.